UGAGGAAUAUUGGGCAAUGCCCGAAAGGGUGACCCAGCAACGCCGCGUGGAGGAUGAAGGUCGUAAGAUUGUAAACUCCUGUUAGAGGGGAAGAAUAACUAAGUUUGGAGCUUAGUAUGACUGUACCCUCAGAGAAAGCCCCGGCUAACUACGUGCCAGCAGCCGCGGUAAUACGUAGGGGGCAAGCGUUGUCCGGAUUUACUGGGUGUAAAGGGCGCGCAGGCGGGAUAAAAAGUCAGUGGUGAAAUCCUACAGCUUAACUGUAGAACUGCCUUUGAUACUUUUAUUCUUGAGUUCGGGAGAGAGAGACGGAAUUCCAGGUGUAGUGGUGAAAUACGUAGAUAUCUGGAAGAACACCAGUUGCGAAGGCGGUCUCUUGAUCCGACACUGACGCUGAGGCGCGAAAGCGUGGGGAGCAAACA
This 422-nucleotide ribosomal RNA is filed under the name uncultured bacterium. Its description in RNAcentral is "bacterial SSU rRNA". It matches the Rfam family "Bacterial small subunit ribosomal RNA", at positions 355 to 774 of the family's 1533-position model. The record is from RNAcentral.